CCUACGGGAGGCAGCAGUGGGGAAUUUUGGACAAUGGGCGAAAGCCUGAUCCAGCAAUGCCGCGUGAGUGAAGAAGGCCUUCGGGUUGUAAAGCUCUUUUGUCAGGGAAGAAACGGUGAGAGCUAAUAUCUUUUGCUAAUGACGGUACCUGAAGAAUAAGCACCGGCUAACUACGUGCCAGCAGCCGCGGUAAUACGUAGGGUGCAAGCGUUAAUCGGAAUUACUGGGCGUAAAGCGUGCGCAGGCGGUUUUGUAAGUCUGAUGUGAAAUCCCCGGGCUCAACCUGGGAAUUGCAUUGGAGACUGCAAGGCUAGAAUCUGGCAGAGGGGGGUAGAAUUCCACGUGUAGCAGUGAAAUGCGUAGAUAUGUGGAGGAACACCGAUGGCGAAGGCAGCCCCCUGGGUCAAGAUUGACGCUCAUGCACGAAAGCGUGGGGAGUAAACAGGAUUAGAUACCCUGGUAGUCCACGCCCUAAACGAUGUCUACUAGUUGUCGGGUCUUAAUUGACUUGGUAACGCAGCUAACGCGUGAAGUAGACCGCCUGGGGAGUACGGUGCAAGAUUAAAACUCAAAGGAUUGACGG
RNAcentral lists this ribosomal RNA (583 nucleotides) under uncultured bacterium. RNAcentral's name for it is "bacterial SSU rRNA". It matches the Rfam family "Bacterial small subunit ribosomal RNA", at positions 338 to 916 of the family's 1533-position model. The record is from RNAcentral.